This 801-nucleotide ribosomal RNA is filed under the name uncultured Preussia. RNAcentral describes it as "eukaryotic LSU rRNA". It matches the Rfam family "Eukaryotic large subunit ribosomal RNA", at positions 1 to 793 of the family's 3401-position model. Lineage: Eukaryota; Fungi; Ascomycota; Dothideomycetes; Pleosporales; Sporormiaceae. The record is from RNAcentral.
AACAGCACACUAACUAGUACCUUGGAUUACGGGCUAAAAUCUUCCCCCCCGGGGGGGUUUUUCCCCAGUCAAGAUGCGCAAGAAAAGCAACCAACAGGGAUUGCCCUAGUAACGGCGAGUGAAGCGGCAACUGCUCAAAUUUGAAAUCUGGCCCUUUCAGGGUCCGAGUUGUAAUUUGUAGAGGGUGCUUUGGCGUAGGCUGUGGUCUAAGUUCCUUGGAACAGGACGUCGCAGAGGGUGAGAAUCCCGUAUGUGGCCGCCAGUCUUCGCCGUGUAAAGCCCCUUCGACGAGUCGAGUUGUUUGGGAAUGCAGCUCUAAAUGGGAGGUAAAUUUCUUCUAAAGCUAAAUAUUGGCCAGAGACCGAUAGCGCACAAGUAGAGUGAUCGAAAGAUGAAAAGCACUUUGGAAAGAGAGUCAAAAAGCACGUGAAAUUGUUGAAAGGGAAGCGCUUGCAGCCAGACUUGCCUGUAGUUGCUCAUCCGGGCUUUUGCCCGGUGCACUCUUCUAUGGGCAGGCCAGCAUCAGUCCCAGCGGUUGGAUAAAUGCCUGUUGAAUGUACCUCUCUUCGGGGAGGACUUAUAGCUUCGGGCGGCAUACAACCAGCCGGGAUUGAGGUCCGCGCAUCUGCUAGGAUGCUGGCGUAAUGGCUGUAAGCGGCCCGUCUUGAAACACGGACCAAGGAGUCUAACAUCUAUGCGAGUGUUUGGGUGUCAAGCCCGAGCGCGUAAUGAAAGUGAACGGAGGUGGGAACCCCUCGGGGCGCACCAUCGACCGAUCCUGAUGUUCUCGGAUGGAUUUGA